This 373-nucleotide long non-coding RNA is filed under the name Lepisosteus oculatus (spotted gar). RNAcentral describes it as "lncRNA (ENSLOCG00000023087.1)". The record is from RNAcentral. Lineage: Eukaryota; Metazoa; Chordata; Actinopteri; Semionotiformes; Lepisosteidae.
GUGCGCGACCCCGAGCUGACGCGCGGCCCUGUUUCAGCUCCGAGGGCGGUGUGACGCGCUGCGGCGGCGGUGUUCGCGAGCUGAGAGGCGAGACGAAGUUCAGGGUAUUUUGGGGGGAAUUUGGAAGAUUUCCGGACACUGCGCUGGCUGUAAGCGGCGCACUCAGCUCCUGGCUCCGGCGGGCUCCCUGCACACCAGCACCGUUACUCGGGCCACGGACACGGCAUGGACACCGGGGGGCCGCUGGAGCGCUGGGGCGCUGAGGAUGAGCUGCAGUGGAGGAGGGACGGCCUGGAUCUUCCCCCAGACCGUGAGUAGGGUACAGGGGCAGAGGGGGAUUCGCGGGGUCUUCACCUUGCAGUAGGGGGGCAAU